RNAcentral lists this ribosomal RNA (460 nucleotides) under uncultured bacterium. Its description in RNAcentral is "partial 16S ribosomal RNA". It matches the Rfam family "Bacterial small subunit ribosomal RNA", at positions 338 to 795 of the family's 1533-position model. The record is from RNAcentral.
CCUACGUGAGGCAGCAGUGAGGAAUAUUGGUCAAUGGGCGGAAGCCUGAACCAGCCAAGUAGCGUGCAGGAUGACGGCCCUACGGGUUGUAAACUGCUUUUAUACGGGAAUAACGCGCCUUACGUGUAGGUCUUUGCAUGUACCGUAUGAAUAAGGACCGGCUAAUUCCGUGCCAGCAGCCGCGGUAAUACGGAAGGUCCGGGCGUUAUCCGGAUUUAUUGGGUUUAAAGGGAGCGUAGGCGGGAUGUCAAGCCAGCUGUGAAAUGUCCGGGCUCAACCCGGGCCUUGCAGGGGAAACUGGCGUGCUUGAGUCCGCGGAAGGCAGGCGGAAGUCAUCGUGUAGCGGUGAAAUGCUUAGAUAUGACGAAGAACCCCGAUUGCGAAGGCAGCUUGCUGCAGCGGAACUGACGCUGAUGCUCGAAAGCGCGGGUAUCGAACAGGAUUAGAUACCCCAGUAGUC